RNAcentral lists this transfer RNA (68 nucleotides) under Kaistella antarctica. Its description in RNAcentral is "Chryseobacterium antarcticum tRNA_Phe_GAA". It matches the Rfam family "tRNA". From Rfam's summary of the family: Transfer RNA (tRNA) molecules are approximately 80 nucleotides in length. Their secondary structure includes four short double-helical elements and three loops (D, anti-codon, and T loops). Further hydrogen bonds mediate the characteristic L-shaped molecular structure. tRNAs have two regions of fundamental functional importance: the anti-codon, which is responsible for specific mRNA codon recognition, and the 3' end, to which the tRNAs corresponding amino acid is attached (by aminoacyl-tRNA synthetases). tRNAs cope with the degeneracy of the genetic code in two manners: having more than one tRNA (with a specific anti-codon) for a particular amino acid; and 'wobble' base-pairing, i.e. permitting non-standard base-pairing at the 3rd anti-codon position. Lineage: Bacteria; Pseudomonadati; Bacteroidota; Flavobacteriia; Flavobacteriales; Weeksellaceae. The record is from RNAcentral.
GGUCUUUAAGAAUCGAACCUUAUGGAUUGAAAAUCCAUGUGUCCCUGGUUCGAUUCCUGGAGAGACCA